GACGAACGCUGGCGGCGUGCUUAACACAUGCAAGUCGAACGGAAAGGCCCUGCUUUUGUGGGGUGCUCGAGUGGCGAACGGGUGAGUAACACGUGUGUAACCUGCCCUUGACUUUGGGAUAACUUCAGGAAACUGGGGCCAAUACCGGAUAGGAGCUCCUGCUGCAUGGUGGGGGUUGGAAAGUUUCGGCGGUUGGGGAUGGACUCGCGGCUUAUCAGCUUGUUGGUUGGGUAGUGUCUUACCAAGGCUUUGACGGGUUGCCGGCCUGGGCGGGUGACCGGCCACAUUGGUGCUGGAAUGCGACCCAGCCUCCUCCGGGACGCAGCGGUGGAGAAUAUUGCCCAAGGGGCGGAAGCCUGACGCAGCCGCGCCGCGCGCGGGAUGACGGCCUUCGGGUAGUAAACCGCUUUCGCCUGUGACGAAGAGUGAGUGACGGUAAUAGGUAAAGAAGCACCGGCUAACUACGUG
RNAcentral lists this ribosomal RNA (468 nucleotides) under uncultured bacterium. RNAcentral's name for it is "partial 16S ribosomal RNA". It matches the Rfam family "Bacterial small subunit ribosomal RNA", at positions 28 to 507 of the family's 1533-position model. The record is from RNAcentral.